This 371-nucleotide long non-coding RNA is filed under the name Helianthus annuus (common sunflower). Its description in RNAcentral is "hypothetical non coding rna". Lineage: Eukaryota; Viridiplantae; Streptophyta; Magnoliopsida; Asterales; Asteraceae. The record is from RNAcentral.
UUCCACACAAAUCUUCUUUGGGCGGCAAUCCAUUUCUCUCUCUCUCUCUCUCAAAUUCCCAAGAACCUAGAUCCAGAUUUUCUCUUUCUCUCUGUCUUUCUGUAUUCACCCUUAAAUAAAUGAAGAAGAACAUCGUUCCAUUUGGUGAUGUCGAUUCAAGCCUAAAUCGCCACAAUUUCUGCUCUUACAUCUUUCUCCUUGAUCUAGGGUCCAGACCAUAGACCAUUAAAGGAGGCCGACUAAACUAGGGUUUCGACUACUGAUCUAUUUCUGCACGUAUGUUCUUCAGACAAUCAAGGUUGUUGAGGACUUAUGAGGUGAUUCCAUGUGAUGGUAUGGUAGACAAUCAAGGUAAGGUUCUUUCAUUUUGA